AUGGCUGCUCAACCAGUAGUUGCUCCAUUUAUGAUGAAUGAUCCAGAGAGUAAUACUUCCGAGAGUUCAACAACACGAGAAGAAGAUGUCUUACCCAAAGAUUUUGUAGCCACACUUCCAGCUAGAGAGGGGUGGUCUGAACCACUCGUUCAAUACCACAACUACUGGUUCAGACCUUGGCACCUCGAGCGGAUCCUGCUCGUCAAGCAGGCCUUCGUGCCCCGCGCCGACGACAUCAUCCUCGCCACGCAGCCCAAAUGCGGCACCACAUGGCUCAAAGCCCUUGCCUUCACCAUCACCAACCGAUCGCGCUACGGGUUCAGUGACCACCCGCUUCUCACACACCACCCUCAGCAUCUCGUGCCGUUCAUUCAGAUUCGUGGUGCCGGUACGAGCCACACCGACAUCGAGUCCCUUGAGUCUCCAAGGCUUUUCGCCACACACACGCCCAUGUCGUUGCUCCCGCCAGACAUGAGAUCGCUGGGCUGCCGGGUCGUGUACCUGUGCCGGGACCCCAAGGACACCCUCGUGUCAAGGCUGCACUUUGAGAACAAGGCGUUUCCGGGCACCAACCUAUCAAUGGAUGGUGCUUUCAGCAUGUUCUGCGAGGGAUUCUCGCCGUAUGGCCCCUUCUGGGAUCACUGCCUCGAGUACUGGAGGGAGAGCGUGGCACGGCCGGACAGCGUCCUCUUCUUGAAGUACGAAGAGAUCAAGUCCGAUCCGGCACAGGUUGUGAAGAAGCUGGCGAAAUUCCUCGGUGUCCCGCUGACAGAAGAGGAGGUGAGCUUCGGCGUUGCUCGGGAGGUGGUGCGGCUGUGCAGCUUUGAAACGCUCACCAGCUUGCAGGUGAACCAGGUCGGUAGCGUUCGUCAUGGUGAUAGCGGUUCCAUUGGUAGUUCGGCGUUUUACAGAAAAGGAGAAGUGGGGGACUGGGCAAACCACAUGAGCCAGGAGAUGGGGGACAAGUUGGACCGCAUUGUCCAACUCAAGCUUGAGGGAUCUGGGCUUAAGUUUUGA
Molecule: ribosomal RNA, 1017 nt
Filed under: Triticum aestivum (bread wheat)
Lineage: Eukaryota; Viridiplantae; Streptophyta; Magnoliopsida; Poales; Poaceae
Description: partial small subunit ribosomal RNA
Source: RNAcentral